This 279-nucleotide ribosomal RNA is filed under the name uncultured bacterium. RNAcentral's name for it is "partial 16S ribosomal RNA". It matches the Rfam family "Bacterial small subunit ribosomal RNA", at positions 506 to 784 of the family's 1533-position model. The record is from RNAcentral.
UGCCAGCCGCCGCGGUAAUACGGAGGGUGCAAGCGUUAAUCGGAAUUACUGGGCGUAAAGCGCGCGUAGGUGGCCAAGUCAGUCAGAUGUGAAAGCCCUGGGCUCAACCUGGGAACUGCAUCUGAUACUGCUUGGCUAGAGUAUGGUAGAGGGGUGUGGAAUUUCCUGUGUAGCGGUGAAAUGCGUAGAUAUAGGAAGGAACACCAGUGGCGAAGGCGGCUCCCUGGCCAAAGACCGACGCUCAUGUGCGAAAGUGUGGGUAGCGAACAGGAUUAGAUA